This 291-nucleotide long non-coding RNA is filed under the name Olea europaea (common olive). RNAcentral describes it as "long non-coding RNA (OEUR_LNC005435)". Lineage: Eukaryota; Viridiplantae; Streptophyta; Magnoliopsida; Lamiales; Oleaceae. The record is from RNAcentral.
CCCACUCGGAUGGAUACAAGGGCAGAAGAAAUAUGUUCUCCGCCACAUCUUUCCAAAGCACAGACAAAUCUUACUUACCUCCAGAUAAGUGGAAGGUAAUAUUUUGCAAAGUCUAUUGCACCAAAGGCCAUGAUACAGAUAAAUACUUUGAAGUGCUUAAAAUGGCUAGUAUGCGAUGCCAUCAAAAGCCUCCAUGCCUAGAGAAAAUGUGGAACAAGCAAGGAUGUUUAGUCUCAUAAAAUAUAAAGAUCACACACGCUACACGCUUCCAAGCACCUAAGGAACUCGCAC